This 464-nucleotide ribosomal RNA is filed under the name uncultured Planctomycetota bacterium. RNAcentral describes it as "bacterial SSU rRNA". It matches the Rfam family "Bacterial small subunit ribosomal RNA", at positions 365 to 819 of the family's 1533-position model. The record is from RNAcentral. Lineage: Bacteria; Pseudomonadati; Planctomycetota.
UUCGCAAUGCCCGAAAGGGUGACGAAGCGACGCCGCGUGGGUGAGGAAGGCCUUCGGGUUGUAAAACCCUGUCAGGAGUUAUGAAAUGUAAGUGCGCUAAUAUCGUGCUUAUUUGACAAAGGCUCCAAAGGAAGCCACGGCUAACUCUGUGCCAGCAGCCGCGGUAAUACAGAGGUGGCGAGCGUUGUUCGGAAUUAUUGGGCGUAAAGAGCACGUAGGUGGGUUUGCAAGUCAGAUGUGAAAGCCUUCUGUUCAACGGAAGAAUUGCAUCUGAAACUGCUAAUCUUGAGUAUAGGAGGGGAGAAUGGAACUUCUGGUGGAGCGGUGAAAUGCGUAGAUAUCAGAAGGAACGCCGGCGGCGAAAGCGAUUCUCUGGCCUAUUACUGACACUCAGUGUGCGAAAGCUAGGGGAGCAAACGGGAUUAGAUACCCCGGUAGUCCUAGCUGUAAACGAUGGGCACUAA